UGGCGCAGUGGUUAAGUGUUUGGCUGCUAACCAAAAGGACGGCAGUUCAAAUCUGCC
RNAcentral lists this transfer RNA (57 nucleotides) under Loxodonta africana (African savanna elephant). It matches the Rfam family "tRNA", at positions 8 to 63 of the family's 71-position model. Rfam says of the family: Transfer RNA (tRNA) molecules are approximately 80 nucleotides in length. Their secondary structure includes four short double-helical elements and three loops (D, anti-codon, and T loops). Lineage: Eukaryota; Metazoa; Chordata; Mammalia; Proboscidea; Elephantidae. The record is from Rfam by way of RNAcentral.